AUGUCCCUUCCCCGGUGCUGGAGUCCCACGGCGGAGCCCGCUCACUGCAGCCGGGGCACCCGCAGUCCCUUCAUUUGCGCUACAGAGAUGUCCCCUAGGCUCGACCGCCCCAUAGACACCCCUGGAGCGGGCAGGGGGUUCGGGCUGUCCGUCGGCCGGACGCGGGCUGUGGCUCUGCCCCUCCUUCCAUCCGGCUCUCGAUCCUCUGGCCGGCCGGCCCUCCCCUUCCCCAACGCAACGGGGCCGGGGCGGGGGGUGGCGGUAGGCAGGGCUGGGGGUCACUCCCCUGGCUGGAGCCGCUUCCUGGGGACCCCUCGCUGGCAGCGGGGUUCGGUCCCGGCCGCCUGCCCGCAGCACUGCCCAGGAGGUUUAUUUUCAGCCGGGCUGGGACGCGCGCCCAAGGGGCCGGGCUCCCAUCAAUGUCCCGCUUUCUCCCUUGUUCGGCGGUCGCCGGCAGCUGGGAGCCCGGACCCCCGCUCCCAUUGCCAUGGAAACUCGCCCCGGCCUUGGGAAACGCUCCCAGGCCUCAGUUUCUCCCCCAGGAAGCAGGGAGGGAGGGAGGCAGAAGAGACAUCCGGCUCUCUGCUCCCCAUCCGAGGCCACAGGCAUGAUGCCAGGGCGAUGGGCACUGCGGGGGGAGGUUCUGGCUCGGCAAACAUAUCCGCUGCCCAGCUGCCAGCCCCCACGGGGCUCUGCUGUGGGGCGCCACCAGCACCCUGGGGCUCGCUCCCCUUCCCUGGUGGGGUUGGCACCCAACCCCAGCAGUGGUGUCCGCCCGCGGGCUCCCCAGGGAGAACAGCUGGUCAUGCCGGCAGCCACAGCGUGAGAGAGGAAAGACCCUCAGCAACCUCUUGCCGCAGCCCCCACCUGCCUGGCCCCCCAAACCGUGGCCAUUGCUGUGCCACGGGGGCAGCUAAGAGGGAGUUAAGUGUAUCUUCAAGAGGAGUCUCCACUGGGGCUUCCACUGCUACUAGUAUCCCAGCUGGCACCCGGCAGCAGAAGCACGGGGCACAAGAAGCCCAUUGA
Molecule: long non-coding RNA, 1026 nt
Filed under: Parus major (Great Tit)
Lineage: Eukaryota; Metazoa; Chordata; Aves; Passeriformes; Paridae
Description: lncRNA (ENSPMJG00000019602.1)
Source: RNAcentral